This 498-nucleotide ribosomal RNA is filed under the name uncultured bacterium. RNAcentral describes it as "partial 16S ribosomal RNA". It matches the Rfam family "Bacterial small subunit ribosomal RNA", at positions 30 to 523 of the family's 1533-position model. The record is from RNAcentral.
AUUGAACGCUGGCGGCAUGCCUUACACAUGCAAGUCGAACGGUAACAGGUCUUCGGAUGCUGACGAGUGGCGAACGGGUGAGUAAUACAUCGGAACGUGCCUAGUAGUGGGGGAUAACUACUCGAAAGAGUGGCUAAUACCGCAUGAGAUCUACGGAUGAAAGCAGGGGAUCGCAAGACCUUGUGCUACUAGAGCGGCCGAUGGCAGAUUAGGUAGUUGGUGGGAUAAAAGCUUACCAAGCCGACGAUCUGUAGCUGGUCUGAGAGGACGAUCAGCCACACUGGGACUGAGACACGGCCCAGACUCCUACGGGAGGCAGCAGUGGGGAAUUUUGGACAAUGGGGGCAACCCUGAUCCAGCAACGCCGCGUGAAUGAAGAAGGCCUUCGGGUUGUAAAGUUCUUUUAUUUGGGGGCAAAGGCAUUGUGUUAAUAGCAUGAUGUUAUGAGAGUACCGAAUGAAUAAGCACCGGCUAACUACGUGCCAGCAGCCGCAGUAA